GAUGAACGCUGGCGGCGUGCUUAACACAUGCAAGUCGAACGGAACUUCCUUGCUAUCGUGUGGUUCUCGAGUGGGGAAAAGGUUUGUAUCACGAACGUAACCUGCCCUCGACUGUAGGCUGACUUCAAGAAGCGGAGGCUACUACGAAAUAGGAGCUCCUGCUGCAUGAUGAUGGUUGGCGAAUGUCGGCGGUUUAAGAUGGACUCUCGGCUUAUCGGCUUGUUGGUGGGGUAGUGGCUUACCAAGGCUUUGACGGGUAGCCGGCCUGAGAGGGUGACCGGCCACAUAGCGACUGAGAUAGGGCGCAGACGCGUACGGUAGGCAGCAGUGGGGAGUAUUGCACAAUGGGCGGAAGCCUGAUGCAGAAGCGCCGCGUGCGGAAUGACGGCCUUCGGGUUGUAAACCGCUUUCGCAUGUGACGAACAGUGAGUGACGGUAACGGGUAAAGAAGCACCGGCUAACUACGUG
Molecule: ribosomal RNA, 468 nt
Filed under: uncultured bacterium
Lineage: Bacteria
Description: partial 16S ribosomal RNA
Rfam family: Bacterial small subunit ribosomal RNA
Source: RNAcentral